RNAcentral lists this ribosomal RNA (343 nucleotides) under uncultured microorganism. RNAcentral's name for it is "bacterial SSU rRNA". It matches the Rfam family "Bacterial small subunit ribosomal RNA", at positions 366 to 699 of the family's 1533-position model. The record is from RNAcentral.
CCACAAUGGACGAAAGUCUGAUGGAGCGACGCCGCGUGCGGGAUGAAGGCCUUAUGGGUUGUAAACCGCUGUCAGGGGGGAAGAACAUCGGAAUGAACAAUACUCAUUCCGACUGACGUUACCCCCAGAGGAAGCUCCGGCCAACUCCGUGCCAGCAGCCGCGGUAAUACGGGGGGAGCAAGCGUUGUCCGGAAUUAUUGGGCGUAAAGGGCGUGUAGGCGGCGAGGUAAGUCGAAUGUGAAAUCUCACGGCUCAACCGUGAAACUGCGUUCGAAACUACCCCGCUUGAGUACGGGAGAGGUGUACGGAAUUCCUGGUGUAGCGGUGGAAUGCGUAGAUAUCA